AUGUAUAGCAAUAGCUGAUUGCACCAACAAAUGGUUGAUGCAAUAUUGACUCUGUCAAAUAAAAUUCUAGGUAGAAUUAUGAUAAUGACAUUGUCUGCCUAUAUGUCUUGACCAAAUUACGUGCCAGCAGUCGCGGUAAUACGUAGAAGACUAGUGUUAUUCAUCUUUAAUAGGUUUAAAGGGUACCUAGACGGUAAAUCAAGCCUUCACAGGGACUAAUUUACUAGAGUUACUUACGAGGGGGUAUUAAAGUACUGCAGGUGUAGAGAUGAAAUUCUGUCAUACCUCUUUUCAAAAGAAAAAUUAUGGCACAGGUAUAGGUGAAAGCAUCCCCUUAUGUGAUAACUGACGUUGAAGGACGAAGGCUUUGUGUCGCGAACAGGAUUAGAUACCCCAGUAGUCAAAGCAGAAAAUGAUGAAUGUCAUAGAUUAGAUAUAUAGUUUAUUCUAUAAAUGAAAAUGUAAGCAUUCCACCUCAAGAGUAAUUUGGCAACAUUGGAACUGAAAUCAUUAGACCGUUUCUGAAACCAGUAGUGAAGUAUGUUGUUUAAUUUGAUGAUCCGCAAAAAACCUUACCACAAUUUGAAUAUUUGUAUCUAUCUUUUUUUCGUAAAGAAAUAAAAAGCUAAUAUAUUUACAAGCGUUGCACGGCUGUCUUCAGUUAAUGUCGCGAGACUUUGGUUAGUUCCAUUUAAUUAACGUAAACCCUUACUUUAUUUUUAUAUGAAGUAGUUCCCCGCUAUAUUGGAUAUGAUAACAGGGACUAGGACAAGUCAUCAUGGCCUUAAUAUUGU
This 794-nucleotide ribosomal RNA is filed under the name Lepraria vouauxii. Its description in RNAcentral is "SSU rRNA". It matches the Rfam family "Bacterial small subunit ribosomal RNA", at positions 368 to 1210 of the family's 1533-position model. Lineage: Eukaryota; Fungi; Ascomycota; Lecanoromycetes; Lecanorales; Stereocaulaceae. The record is from RNAcentral.